Molecule: ribosomal RNA, 433 nt
Filed under: uncultured bacterium
Lineage: Bacteria
Description: partial 16S ribosomal RNA
Rfam family: Bacterial small subunit ribosomal RNA
Source: RNAcentral
AACGAACGCUGGCGGCAUGCCUAACACAUGCAAGUCGAACGAGACCUUCGGGCUUAGUGGCGCACGGGUGCGUAACGCGUGGGAACCUGCCCUUAGGUUCGGAAUAACUCCCCGAAAGGGGUGCUAAUACCGGAUAAUGUCUUCGCACCAAAGAUUUAUCGCCUUUGGAUGGGCCCGCGUUGGAUUAGCUAGUUGGUAGGGUAAAAGCCUAUCAAGGCGACGAUCCAUAGCUGGUCUGAGAGGAUGAUCAGCCACACUGGGACUGAGACACGGCCCAGACUCCUACGGGAGGCAGCAGAGGGGAAUAUUGGACAAUGGGCGAAAGCCUGAUCCAGCAAUGCCGCGUGAGUGAUGAAGGCCUUAGGGUUGUAAAGCUCUUUUACCCGGGAUGAUAAUGACAGUACCGGGAGAAUAAGCACCGGCUAACUCCGUG